This 424-nucleotide ribosomal RNA is filed under the name uncultured prokaryote. RNAcentral's name for it is "bacterial SSU rRNA". It matches the Rfam family "Bacterial small subunit ribosomal RNA", at positions 355 to 776 of the family's 1533-position model. The record is from RNAcentral.
UAAGGAAUAUUGGUCAAUGGGCGCAAGCCUGAACCAGCCAUGCCGCGUGAAGGAAGACGGCGCUAUGCGUUGUAAACUUCUUUUGUCAGGGAAUAAAUGUAGGUACGUGUACUUACUUGAAGGUACCUGAAGAAUAAGCAUCGGCUAACUCCGUGCCAGCAGCCGCGGUAAUACGGAGGAUGCAAGCGUUAUCCGGAUUCAUUGGGUUUAAAGGGUGCGUAGGCGGUUUUUUAAGUCAGUGGUGAAAUCCUGCGGCUCAACCGUAGAACUGCCAUUGAAACUGAAGAACUUGAAUAUAGUUGAGGUAGGCGGAAUGUGCAGUGUAGCGGUGAAAUGCUUAGAUAUUGCACAGAACACCGAUUGCGAAGGCAGCUUACCAAGCUAUUAUUGACGCUGAGGCACGAAAGCGUGGGGAUCGAACAGG